RNAcentral lists this ribosomal RNA (1316 nucleotides) under uncultured bacterium. RNAcentral describes it as "bacterial SSU rRNA". It matches the Rfam family "Bacterial small subunit ribosomal RNA", at positions 28 to 1381 of the family's 1533-position model. The record is from RNAcentral.
GAUGAAUGCUGGCGGCGUGCCUAACACAUGCAAGUCGAGCGGCAGCGAGGGGUGCUUGCUCCCUGUCUGCGAGCGGCGGACGGCUGAGUAACGCGUGGGAAUCUACCCUAAAGUGAGGGAUAACCGCCCGAACGGGUGGCUAAUACCGCAUAUGAUCUUCGGAUUAAAGGAUUUAUCCGCUUUAGGAAGAGCCCGCGUUAGAUUAGGGAGCUGGUAGGGUAAUGGCCUACCAAGCCAACGAUCUAUAGCUGGUCUGAGAGGAUGAUCAGCCAGACUGGAACUGAGACACGGUCCAGACUCCUACGGGAGGCAGCACUGAGGAAUCUUCCACAAUGGGCGAAAGCUUGAUGGAGCAACGCCGCGUGAAGGAUGAACGCCUUCGGGUUGUAAACUUCUUUUAUGAUUGAAGAAUAUGACUGUAACUCAUGAAUAAUCGCCGGCUAACUACCUUGCCACCACCCGUGGUCCUUCCCAUGACGCAAGCAUUAUCCUGCAUGACUGGGCCCCAAAGAAUUUGCGUAGGCGGUUUAUAAGUGAAUAGUGAAACCUGGUGGCUCUUCCAUACAGACUAUUAUUCAAACUGUUAAACUCGAGAGUGGUAGAGGUAACUGGAAUUUCUAGUGUAGGAGUGAAAUCCGUAGAUAUUAGAAGGAACACCAAUGGCGUAGGCAGGUUACUGGACCAUUUCUGACGCUAAGGCACGAAAGCGUGGGGAGCGAACUGGAUUAGAUACCCAGGUAGUCCACGCCGUAAACGAUGGAUACUAGCUGUUGGAGGUAUCGACCCCUUCACUAGCGAAGCUAACGCGUUAAGUAUCCCGCCUGUGGAGUACGGCCGCGAGGCUAAAACAUAAAGGAAUUGACGGGGACCCGCACAAGCGUUGGAUCAUGUUCUUUAAUUCGAUGAUAAACGAAGAACCUUACCAGGGGUUAGACAUCCCGAGAAGAUUUACGAAAGUAGAUUGUGCCUUUUGGAACUCGGUGACAGAUGAUGCAUGGCCGUCGUCAGCUCGUGUCGUGAGAUGUUUGGUUAAGUCCAUCAACGAGCGCAACCCUUGUGAAUAGUUGAAUUUUUCUAUUCAGACUGCCCCGGCAACGGGGAGGAAGGAGGGGAUGAUGUCAGGUCAGUAUUUCUCUUACAUCCUGGGCUAGAAACGUGAUACAAUGGCAAGUACAAUGCGCAGCGAAGCCGCGAGGUGAAGCAAAUCGCACCAAAGCUUGUCCCAGUUCGGAUUGGAGGCUGAAACUCGCCUCCAUGAAGUCGGAAUCGCUAGUAAUCGCAGGUCAGCAAACUGCGGUGAAUACGUUCCCGGGUCU